RNAcentral lists this ribosomal RNA (319 nucleotides) under uncultured eukaryote. RNAcentral's name for it is "partial 18S ribosomal RNA". It matches the Rfam family "Eukaryotic small subunit ribosomal RNA", at positions 1470 to 1796 of the family's 1831-position model. The record is from RNAcentral.
CCCUUAGAUGUUCUGGGCUGCACGCGUGCUACAAUGAAGCGUCCAACAAGAUGCGAAGCCGAAGGGCUCAGCGGAUCUUUGAAGUCGUUUCGUGACCGGGACAGUUGAUUGCAAUUAUUCGACUCGAACGAGGAAUUCCUUGUAAUCGCGAUUCAUCAUAUCGCGCUGAAUACGUCCCUGCCCUUUGUACACACCGCCCGUCGCUCCUACCGAUUGAGCGAUCCGGUGAAUUAUUUGGAGUGUCCACGCAAGCCAAUCCGUUUACGUGGGUGCGAAAUUUUGUAAACCUUAUCGCUUAGAGGAAGGAAAANUCGUANCA